This is a long non-coding RNA of Rattus norvegicus (Norway rat), 925 nucleotides long. RefSeq lists it as uncharacterized. NCBI's taxonomy places the organism in Eukaryota, Metazoa, Chordata, Mammalia, Rodentia, Muridae. The record is from RefSeq and is a predicted model, not a curated record.
GCACACGCAUGCGUACUCCACUAGAAUUGCACAGCGGUUUGCUGAGGUCUCCCGGGUAAACACCUAGAAGAGGAGGAGCGCGGAGCCGCAGCAAGCUGCUGGCCCCUCCUCUCCCAGCUUCACGCGGAUUUCCUGUCCCUCAAAGGAGACAACCCCUAGCCUGCAGGGGGAGCCAGACCAGCUCCUAAAAUGGCUAAAUCGUGGACUGGUGAUGUUGCUUAGCCAGGAAAUGCUAGUCUUACAACCCAAAAUAUAAUUCUUAAAUACUAUACCCAGUAGGAACUCUAUUCCAAACCAGACAUUGGAUCCGGAUUCCAUUCUGUCGACUAGAAGCCCUCGAAGCUAAAGCUUUUAUUUACCUUUUAAGUUAAACAUUCAAAUGCAGCUUUUCCAAGGCUGUAAAUACAUGGUGGUAAUGAUGUUAUUUGUUUUAUAGCAGUUUGGUGACAUUUGUGCUGUUUUCAGCUAUUUAAGCUGAAGAACCUUGCCAUUAUUUUCUAAAGCUUCCUUUUCAUUCCCCACCCCUGUGUUCAUAAAAGAUAAGUGAACCAGGAAUAUCAACUAAAGUGGAAUUAAAGGGCUGUCCAUUAGAAGAGCAUAAUAAGGCCCAGACCUAUACUGUUAGUCACCUCAGCCAGUUGUGAAAUACUAUUUAUCUCUUAAGUUUAGUCCAGUGUAUGGAUUUUGGUCCGUGCACUUUGGCCGAAAGCAGGGAACCAGAAGAUUCUCCUAACUCCAGGCUAAGAACUUAGAAGUUGCCAAUGACUGUUGGAAAAGACAGAUAAAAGAGGGCUAAAAAGCACAACUGGAUGCCCUUGAGAAAGGGCUGUUUUCAGAGUGCCUGGAUGGACAGCAAAGAAAUCAAACCAACCACUUAAAUAAAAAUUUAUUGACAAUAAAUAAUUUUAUACAUUAAAAAAAGAAA